RNAcentral lists this ribosomal RNA (497 nucleotides) under uncultured bacterium. RNAcentral's name for it is "partial 16S ribosomal RNA". It matches the Rfam family "Bacterial small subunit ribosomal RNA", at positions 28 to 507 of the family's 1533-position model. The record is from RNAcentral.
GAUGAACGCUGGCGGCGUGCCUAAUACAUGCGAGUCGAGCGGACGGACGAGAAGCUUGCUUUUCUGAUGUUAGCGGCGGACGGGUGAGUAACACGUGGAUAACCUACCUAUAAGACUGGGAUAACUUCGGGAAACCGGAGCUAAUACCGGAUAAUAUUUUGAACCGCAUGGUUCAAAAGUGAAAGACGGUCUUGCUGUCACUUAUAGAUGGAUCCGCGCUGCAUUAGCUAGUUGGUAAGGUAACGGCUUACCAAGGCAACGAUGCAUAGCCGACCUGAGAGGGUGAUCGGCCACACUGGAACUGAGGCACGGUCCAGACUCCUACGGGAGGCAGCAGUAGGGAAUCUUCCGCAAUGGGCGAAAGCCUGACGGAGCAACGCCGCGUGAGUGAUGAAGGUCUUCGGAUCGUAAAACUCUGUUAUUAGGGAAGAACAUAUGUGUAAGUAACUGUGCACAUCUUGACGGUACCUAAUCAGAAAGCCACGGCUAACUACGUG